This 912-nucleotide ribosomal RNA is filed under the name Bulgaria inquinans. Its description in RNAcentral is "LSU rRNA". It matches the Rfam family "Eukaryotic large subunit ribosomal RNA", at positions 38 to 966 of the family's 3401-position model. The record is from RNAcentral. Lineage: Eukaryota; Fungi; Ascomycota; Leotiomycetes; Phacidiales; Phacidiaceae.
GCAUAUCAAUAAGCGGAGGAAAAGAAACCAACAGGGAUUGCCUCAGUAACGGCGAGUGAAGCGGCAACAGCUCAAAUUUGAAAUCUGGCCCUUUCAGGGUCCGAGUUGUAAUUUGUAGAGGAUGUUUCGGGCGUGGCUCCGGUCUAAGUUCCCUUGGAACAGGACGUCAUAGAGGGUGAGAAUCCCGUAUGUGACUGGUAGCCUAUGCCCAUGUGAAACUCCUUCGACGAGUCGAGUUGUUUGGGAAUGCAGCUCAAAAUGGGUGGUAAAUUUCAUCUAAAGCUAAAUAUUGGCCAGAGACCGAUAGCGCACAAGUAGAGUGAUCGAAAGAUGAAAAGCACUUUGGAAAGAGAGUUAAACAGUACGUGAAAUUGUUGAAAGGGAAGCGCUUGCAACCAGACUUGCACGUGGCCGAUCAACCGGUGUUCUCACCGGUGCACUCGGUUGCGUUCAGGCCAGCAUCGGUUUCGACGGUUGGAUAAAGGCCCCGGGAAUGUAGCUUCUUUCGGGGAGUGUUAUAGCCCGGGGUGCAAUGCAGCCUGUUGGGACCGAGGACCGCGCUUCGGCUAGGAUGCUGGCGUAAUGGUUGUAAGCGACCCGUCUUGAAACACGGACCAAGGAGUCUAACAUCUAUGCGAGUGUUUGGGUGUCAAACCCAUACGCGUAAUGAAAGUGAACGGAGGUGAGAACCCUUAAGGGUGCAUCAUCGACCGAUCCUGAUGUCUUCGGAUGGAUUUGAGUAAGAGCAUAGCUGUUGGGACCCGAAAGAUGGUGAACUAUGCCUGAAUAGGGUGAAGCCAGAGGAAACUCUGGUGGAGGCUCGCAGCGGUUCUGACGUGCAAAUCGAUCGUCAAAUUUGGGUAUAGGGGCGAAAGACUAAUCGAACCAUCUAGUAGCUGGUUCCUGCCGAAG